This is a long non-coding RNA of Gadus chalcogrammus (walleye pollock), 740 nucleotides long. RefSeq lists it as uncharacterized. The record is from RefSeq and is a predicted model, not a curated record. NCBI's taxonomy places the organism in Eukaryota, Metazoa, Chordata, Actinopteri, Gadiformes, Gadidae. The transcript has 3 exons.
CCAAGACUCUGUAGGACAACAUCACUCCACCAACCAGGAUCCUCACCAGGAAUCUGGAGGACUGAUGGAGAAGCCGUACAUCUGGAAGGCAAAUCCUGAGGACCAGCAGGACUCUACCAUCAAGAAUUCCUCAUAAGUUUGCAUUAUCUGGACAAAGUGGCCUAGACACACCUCAGCUGAACCUCACCUGAUCCUGUUUGGUCGGGGGUUGACACACCUGAGCUAAACCCACCCUGAUCCUGACAUCCUGCUGGUCCAGUCUCCUCAGUUCUCCUGAGCCUCGUCCUCCAGAAGACCUGCGUAGCUCAGCAGUCUGAGGCUGAUGGAUCAAUGACCUCCAGUGGGAGGGAUCUUCUUGACCCCACUUGUAACCGUGUGCUUCCACACGCCUUUCCCUCACAUCUGUCACUAACCUCACCACUUCACUACUCUUUACUGCUUCCUCUUUUCUUCCUUCUCUGUGGUUUAAACCUUUUACACUGAAGGCGCGUCUUCCUGCCCUCAGAGGGUUCAGCGUUAGGGUUGAGAGUCAGGGUUUAGAGUCAGGGACAGAGCUGGUCAGGGAGGACUGCUUUUACACAAACCUCUUGACUUGCUUUCGGAAUGGUGGUGACAUUUUGAAAAGAUUCAUUUGGUAAAAUCUUUUCCUCUGCUUCCCUUUACAAAAUUGUAUCAAACUUCUGUCAAGUGUUUUUGUUUAAAUAUUAAAAUCCCACAUUGACUUCUACAUGUUUGGUGCG